Long non-coding RNA from Pipra filicauda (Wire-tailed manakin), 1464 nucleotides. RefSeq lists it as uncharacterized. NCBI's taxonomy places the organism in Eukaryota, Metazoa, Chordata, Aves, Passeriformes, Pipridae. The record is from RefSeq and is a predicted model, not a curated record. The transcript has 3 exons.
GCGGGUGGGAUCGCUCCUGUCACCCCCUACCGUCCAGUGCUCAGGGCCCGUCGGGGGUGCUCACUCCCCGCCGCUGGGCUCGGAUACCCAGCCGUGGUGUCGGUGCUGUGCGCUCGUGUCCCGGGGCUGCAGCCCAGCUCCAGGUCGUGCUGCAGGCCAUGGGCACUGGCAGGUGGUGGUUGCCCUGUGGCCCCAUAGCCUUGUAGGGCUGGUGCGACCAACCGGAGACACUGCCAGGUCUGGGCUGGCCGUGACCGCACACACAGGCUGCCGUGACUACCCCACGGGUAUGGACCUCCUCUGGGAGCCGGGGAACGGCCAGUGUGCAGAGGACAGGCAGGUCCCAGAGGUCUAGCGGGACCCAGACAGGCGGGAGGCAACAGGAUGCCCAUGAAAUUCGGGAUGAAGGGGAAAACCAGCAAUGACAGAGGCGGGAGCUGGAGGGGGCUCUGCGAGGUCUGGCAGGCACAGCCCUGAGCCCUACGAACAGCUGAGAGGUGGAGGGAAGAGGUUGUUCCCUCAGGGCUCAUCAGACUGCAUCUCGUACUGUGUUCGAGAAGGAUCUUGAUAAACCAGAGUGAUAAACUGCUGCUGAAAAGAUAGUAAGUGAAGAAAGGGCCAGUUGUGCAGUCCUACAUGGUGGCUGUCCCAUGGAGUGCCUCACUUCAGCAGAGACUGUAGCGGCAUGCCCUCGGGAGCAGUGGUUUCUGGCGGCACUUUUACUCUGGAAGAAAAAAACGCAUGUUUGGACUGAUGGACAGAAAAGCAGGAAGCCUGACAGCCCGGUCACCACCGGGCCGUCCCUUCAUCCACUGCCACCCAAAGACAAGGAAUUGCAGGCAACAGAGAGGUUAUGUCCUCUCUGCCUCAGGGGACUCCAUGUGCAAGGCAGGAUGGGGCUGACUCACUGUGCCCUCUCGACGUCCUCAAUACCCUCAGGCAGGCACAUGUUGAGCGUCUCUGGGAGCAGAAAGGCCACUGCACCACUGCACACUGCUACACUGCAGUAUGUCACCUCUGGCAGAGACCUCCACACCUCGUCCAGCAGGAACACAAGUGGGGCCAAAGCCCCGCCGAGGCGUGCCACAAAGGAGGUGUACCCCAUCCCAUUCUGCCUGGAAAGAAUACAUAAAAAAGUCAAGCACGGAAAAGUGAACCCUGUCCAUGAGGAAGAAGAGAGUGCUUAUUCACAAAGGCUUUUGGCAACUGAUUGAGGACACUGUACCAACACUUGGCAAAUACUACAGCGACCAAGAAGGCAAACACUAAGUUGGACUAGUUCCUUGUGCAACUGCACAGUCUCCUGUCUGCUAUGGGAGUGAUGCCUCUGCCUUAUUUUCUCAGGCUGCGCUUCUCUCUCACUGUGUAUUUAGUCCAGUGUCCAGUCCACUGAGGUCUCUUGUCAUGGCAAUAAUGAGUGGAAAGACACUCCACCUAAUGAAAGAGAUUUCUGGUCUUAUGGGA